RNAcentral lists this transfer-messenger RNA (353 nucleotides) under bioreactor metagenome. RNAcentral's name for it is "transfer-messenger RNA, SsrA". It matches the Rfam family "transfer-messenger RNA". From Rfam's summary of the family: Bacterial tmRNA, also known as 10Sa RNA or SsrA, is named for its dual tRNA and mRNA-like properties. Its role is to liberate the mRNA from a stalled ribosome. To accomplish this part of the tmRNA is used as a reading frame that ends in a translation stop signal. The record is from RNAcentral.
GGGGGCGCAAUGGUUUCGACGGGGAUAGGAUUGGAUUGGUAAGCGAGCUGUGGACCAGGGCCACAAUAAAACUUGGACAGACAGAUAACUGUCAACAACAGACAAUUAAUCGCUGCUUAGUAAAUAAGUAGCCGUUCGACCAGCCUGCCGCCGACGGGGCUGGAAGAGCGUCAAAAAGUUGGCUACCCAUGGAGAGAGGUCUGUGUCUCCAACGGGGAAAUUCACGGAAUAGUGUAGGGUUGAUUCGGUAACCGGAAGCAACCCGAGGCGAUAGCUCAAAUUGGUUACUGCGCUCGGAGAAAGCCUUUUGGAUUCAUUUUCGGACACGAGUUCGAUUCUCGUCGCCUCCACCA